UUUGGAGAUGUCCAACUUGUGUCAUGCAUUUAAAGACAGACAAGCUUGGAUCUAGUUCGAUAAAUAUUUAUUUGUAAGAUAUCCUAAAGAAUUUAAAAGAUAUUUUUCUAUCAUGUCGAAGAACAAAAGGUGUUUGUCAGCAAUAGGAUAGUUUUUUUUAAAAAAAAUUGAGAAAAGAACUAAUGCCACUAAAAUCGAACUUAGUAAAGUUUGUGAG
This 217-nucleotide long non-coding RNA is filed under the name Elaeis guineensis (African oil palm). RNAcentral's name for it is "long non-coding RNA (EGUI_LNC017037)". The record is from RNAcentral. Lineage: Eukaryota; Viridiplantae; Streptophyta; Magnoliopsida; Arecales; Arecaceae.